GGCUUCUUGGUCGUGUGGUAAGGACACUUGCCUCUCACCCUGGAAUCCCAGGUUCGAUCCCUGGUCGAGGGGAGAGGAUU
This is a non-coding RNA of Rhamnusium bicolor, 80 nucleotides long. The record is from the annotation of a GenBank genome assembly. Lineage: Eukaryota; Metazoa; Arthropoda; Insecta; Coleoptera; Cerambycidae.